CAGGGAGACAACAAAAUGUUUAAUAUUAUUAUUUUGUCACCUUAGGUCGAUCGGUAUCUCACGUUCUUAAUUUAUUAAGAAUUUCAUUUCCUAAGUUUUUCUAGGUCACACCCAUUAUUUUUCCUGGGCCAUUAGCUCAGGUGGUUAGAGCGCACCCCUGAUAAGGGUGAGGUCCCUGGUUCAAGUCCAGGAUGGCCCAUAUCUCUAUGUUGGGGGUAUAGCUCAGUUGGUAGAGCGCCUGCUUUGCAAGCAGGAUGUCAGCGGUUCGAGUCCGCUUACCUCCACUGAUCACCACCUCUUCCAUAAUCGAUAGAAAGGAAAUGUUUUGAGUUGUGAUCUAAUUCUGAACGAAUCUAGCUUCCUAAUGAAAUUAUUAAGAUGCUGGACUCAUUGAAUUAAUUUCAUUGUUUUCAGAGAACCUUGACAACUGCAUAGAUUAUUUUUUAAAGACAAUAAGCAUCUUUAAUGAUGCAGAUUUAUUAUUUGUGCGAAUGCAUUAAUAACAAUUCUAUUAAGCUGAUGCUUCAAUUUUGAAGUUAUU
Molecule: transfer RNA, 541 nt
Filed under: uncultured cyanobacterium
Lineage: Bacteria; Bacillati; Cyanobacteriota
Description: partial 16S-23S ribosomal RNA intergenic spacer
Rfam family: tRNA (bases 212-284)
Source: RNAcentral